AAUUUAUGGCAUUUAGGGCAUGAGAGUUAAACACUCUUUUGUAAUCUUUGUUGGUUUAGUAAAAUUCUUUUUCGUUCUUCCUCUGUAGACGUAGGCUUGUACGCUGAACCACAUAAAUAUUUUGUGUUAUUUUGAGAUUGUUUGUUUCUUCAGUUUCACCUACAAUAUUAAUAUUUGGUACUUUGUUAGAAUUCACUUUCGUCCGUGGAUGUAAUCUUUUACUUCAAACCAAGGAAAUAUUUUGUGUUAUUUUGAGAUUGUUUGUUUCUUUGCUUUCGCCUAUAAUAUUGAUAUUUAGUACUUUGUUAGAGUUAUCUUUCGCUUGCGCAUAAAACUACAACAUCGCCCACCCAAGAGAAAAGUCAUGGACCUGCUCCUGCCUCCUUAUCCCUAUUACCACACAUACCAAAAUAGCCUCACGGGUUGCUUCACUUCUACCAAUGCUAUCACGAACCACCCAACCACACCACCAUCGUCUCAACUCGGCUACCCAUAUUUGUCGGCCUUAUAACCCUAAUUUAUGCAUUUGUUAUUACAAGUGUUGGUCUUGCAACCUUUCACAGGAAAGCCCUAAUACACUCUCUAACCCUAGCAUAAUUCACAAAAUUUACCCUCCUUCUAGCUGCUAGCCUCCAACUCAUUCUUAAGGCCGGUGGCAACCACCCUUUCAACCUUUCUUAUCCUUCUCCUUCUUAUUCCAACCACCCCCCCCCCCCCCCCCCCCCAAAAACAAGAUUUUUCUUCCCCGUAACUGCGAUGGCCCCGAUUCCCGUCAUGGAUCGGUGGAGCAACCUACCAUCUAUAAGUGGUGUGGAUGGAGCUAUGUCUUCCGCCUUUUUGCCCAUGUUUCAAGGUCAUAUUCCUCUAAUUUGGGGCUUUUGGCUAGAUUUGGGGGCUUUGCGCUCAAAAUCUUCCAAAACUUCAAAUCAGCCCUCCAACUCCUCACACCCGUAUUCGCUGUUUUUUCCAUGCUUUUCUCCGAUCAAAGACAACUAUAUGGUGUCACCCCUACAAAAGGUCUAGAGUCUCUUUGAAUUGGUGGUUACACCAUCUGACCUUUUUUGUUACUACUUGGUUCUAGGCAUUCACAUGCCUAUUGUGUGUUUGUGUUCGGCUGAGGACCAGAACUGUGGUGACCGGAAUGGGUAUGGUUCUUCCUGAUUUACAGAUUUGGCUCUUUUUUACCGGUGCUGUGACAUCAAUGGGUUUGCGUAUUGCUAUCUACGGAGGUUUCUCUUGGUUUUCCUGUUCGCUGGUCGUCUCCACCAAUUAUGCUGUGGUUGAGGUGUGUGACUCUCGUUUUAGGGUUAUUAGGUUUUUAUGUGGGGUUACUUUUUGGGUGGGCCUUGGCUUUUGGACCGAUACACACUGUUUAUAAUUUUUUGUUUAAGGUAUUGAUGGGAACUUUUAUUCACAUAAUGAAUGUAUAAGUGACGUUAUGUUCGUACCUAUUCUAUUUAUGAGGUUAUUAUUUUAUUUUCUCAUUUUCA
This is a long non-coding RNA of Pyrus x bretschneideri (Chinese white pear), 1490 nucleotides long. RefSeq lists it as uncharacterized. NCBI's taxonomy places the organism in Eukaryota, Viridiplantae, Streptophyta, Magnoliopsida, Rosales, Rosaceae. The transcript has 2 exons. The record is from RefSeq and is a predicted model, not a curated record.